Molecule: ribosomal RNA, 497 nt
Filed under: uncultured bacterium
Lineage: Bacteria
Description: partial 16S ribosomal RNA
Rfam family: Bacterial small subunit ribosomal RNA
Source: RNAcentral
GAUGAACGCUGGCGGCGUGCCCAAUACAUGCAAGUCGAGCGAACAGAUGAGGAGCUUGCUCCUCUGACGUUAGCGGCGGACGGGUGAGUAACACGUGGAUAACCUACCUAUAAGACUGGGAUAACUUCGGGAAACCGGAGCUAAUACCGGAUAAUAUAUUGAACCGCAUGGUUCAAUAGUGAAAGACGGUUUUGCUGUCACUUAUAGAUGGAUCCGCGCCGCAUUAGCUAGUUGGUAAGGUAACGGCUUACCAAGGCAACGAUGCGUAGCCGACCUGAGAGGGUGAUCGGCCACACUGGAACUGAGACACGGUCCAGACUCCUACGGGAGGCAGCAAUAGGGAAUCUUCCGCAAUGGGCGAAAGCCUGACGGAGCAACGCCGCGUGAGUGAUGAAGGUCUUCGGAUCGUAAAACUCUGUUAUUAGGGAAGAACAAAUGUGUAAGUAACUAUGCACGUCUUGACGGUACCUAAUCAGAAAGCCACGGCUAACUACGUG